RNAcentral lists this ribosomal RNA (222 nucleotides) under uncultured bacterium. RNAcentral describes it as "partial 16S ribosomal RNA". It matches the Rfam family "Bacterial small subunit ribosomal RNA", at positions 109 to 334 of the family's 1533-position model. The record is from RNAcentral.
AGUAAUGUCUGGGAAACUGCCUGAUGGAGGGGGAUAACUGCUGGAAACGGUAGCUAAUACCGCAUAACGUCGCAAGACCAAAGAGGGGGACCUUCGGGCCUCUUGCCAUCGGAUGUGCCCAGAUGGGAUUAGCUAGUAGGUGGGGUAACGGCUCACCUAGGCGAUGAUCCCUAGCUGGUCUGAGAGGAUGACCAGCCACACUGGAACUGAGACACGGUCCAG